Molecule: ribosomal RNA, 430 nt
Filed under: Pseudomonadota bacterium
Lineage: Bacteria; Pseudomonadati; Pseudomonadota
Description: Proteobacteria bacterium partial 16S ribosomal RNA
Rfam family: Bacterial small subunit ribosomal RNA
Source: RNAcentral
UGGGGAAUAUUGGACAAUGGGCGCAAGCCUGAUCCAGCCAUGCCGCGUGUGUGAAGAAGGCCUUAUGGUUGUAAAGCACUUUAAGCGAGGAGGAGGCUACUUUAGUUAAUACCUAGAGAUAGUGGACGUUACUCGCAGAAUAAGCACCGGCUAACUCUGUGCCAGCAGCCGCGGUAAUACAGAGGGUGCAAGCGUUAAUCGGAUUUACUGGGCGUAAAGCGCGCGUAGGCGGCUAAUUGAGUCGGAUGUGAAAUCCCCGAGCUUAACUUGGGAAUUGCAUUCGAUACUGGUUAGCUAGAGUGUGGGAGAGGAUGGUAGAAUUCCAGGUGUAGCGGUGAAAUGCGUAGAGAUCUGGAGGAAUACCGAUGGCGAAGGCAGCCAUCUGGCCUAACACUGACGCUGAGGUACGAAAGCAUGGGGAGCAAACAGG